GUUACUAAAAGCCGGAUUCGCAGUAUCAUAAAUACACAUUAAUCCAUGUUACAUGUUAAAAAACACAAAGUAAAGUAGUGGUACAUAGUACCUCGGCUUUGCAACAUAUCUAAAAUAGUGGUACAUAUAUAUAUAUAGUUGAUAAUUUUAUUCAAAGAAAUCCUUAAAAUAAAUAUUAUAUAUGUCGUAAUGUGCAAAUCUGGAAACCCGACCGCUAGACGCGGUGAAAACACUAAGAGUCGUCACUAAUCUUUGUUUUAGGUGUGAUUGACUAUCUAUUGACUCGAUUCUAAUCGAUAAAAUCUUAAAUUGAUUUUAAGCCCGUCGAGAGAAUUUUAAACUGGUUUACAUAUUUUAAGAUUAGGUUCGGGAGUGCGGUUACGCCC
This 386-nucleotide long non-coding RNA is filed under the name Theobroma cacao (cacao). RNAcentral's name for it is "long non-coding RNA (TCAC_LNC003348)". Lineage: Eukaryota; Viridiplantae; Streptophyta; Magnoliopsida; Malvales; Malvaceae. The record is from RNAcentral.